UUUGAGCACUGCCCGGCCCACUUGUUCAA
Molecule: small RNA, 29 nt
Filed under: Bombyx mori (domestic silkworm)
Lineage: Eukaryota; Metazoa; Arthropoda; Insecta; Lepidoptera; Bombycidae
Description: ovarian small RNA-38379
Source: RNAcentral